Passer domesticus (house sparrow) is the source of this 665-nucleotide long non-coding RNA. RefSeq lists it as uncharacterized. The transcript has 3 exons. NCBI's taxonomy places the organism in Eukaryota, Metazoa, Chordata, Aves, Passeriformes, Passeridae. The record is from RefSeq and is a predicted model, not a curated record.
GCUCCAUGGCAACCGAGCCCGGAAUCACACCGAGGGCACGGGCUGAAAAUGGCAAAGAUUCCCUUUGGAAGGGAAUCCACAGCCUCGGGAUGCACUCAGCCAGCUGACAAACAGACAAAUGCACGGAAUGCAUGGUGGGAAAGGAACACACGAAGCCAAGGCCACUCCUGGGAAGGUAGACAUCAACUGCUCUGGAGCAAAAGAAAAAAGCUUGGAUGGUUCACACACUCACCCACACAAUCCAAUCCAGCAAACAGCCACAUGGAAUGGGGAUGGAGGAGGCAGCAGAGUCAGCACACAGAUCCCAGCCUGCUGCAGCUCCAGCAGCUCUGGGCACUCACCGUUCUGGGUCAGCUUCAUGGAAAGAGAGCAAACCAUUCCUGAAGAGGUGCUGGAGUUUCCCCACACCAGUCAUCCUGAGCAAUGGCUGAAAUAAAAUUCAAUAUGCAAUAAAAGUCAAAGCCUUUCUUGGCUGAGCUAUUCCUUGCCCUGCUGAACACAGGCACUGAAUUUUCCCACUUUUGUUUCCCACUGGAGGCUGUAUUAAUGGCACAUUAACACCCAGAGAAGUUAUUUUAACAGUUUAAAUACCUUUACAGUCUCAAACCAGCGAGGCUGCUUUACUUGGUAAUAGAUCACUGACUUGUACUCCGAGAUGGCUUCAU